RNAcentral lists this ribosomal RNA (576 nucleotides) under uncultured eukaryote. RNAcentral describes it as "SSU rRNA". It matches the Rfam family "Eukaryotic small subunit ribosomal RNA", at positions 203 to 784 of the family's 1831-position model. The record is from RNAcentral.
UAUUUAUUAGAUAAAAAACCAAUGCCCUCCGGGGCUCCUUGGUGAAUCAUAAUAACUUAACGAAUCGCAUGGCCUUGUGCCGGCGAUGGUUCAUUCAAAUUUCUGCCCUAUCAACUUUCGAUGGUAGGAUAGUGGCCUACCAUGGUUUCAACGGGUAACGGGGAAUUAGGGUUCGACUCCGGAGAGGGAGCCUGAGAAACGGCUACCACAUCCAAGGAAGGCAGCAGGCGCGCAAAUUACCCAAUCCCGACACGGGGAGGUAGUGACAAUAAAUACUGAUACAGGGCUCUUUCGGGUCUUGUAAUUGGAAUGAGUACAAUUUAAAUCCCUUAACGAGGAACAAUUGGAGGGCAAGUCUGGUGCCAGCAGCCGCGGUAAUUCCAGCUCCAAUAGCGUAUAUUAAAGUUGUUGCAGUUAAAAAGCUCGUAGUUGAACCUUGGGCCUGGCUGGCCGGUCCGCCUCACCGCGUGUACUGGUCCGGCCGGGCCUUUCCUUCUGGGGAGCCGCAUGGCCUUCACUGGCCGUGUCGGGGAACCAGGACUUUUACUUUGAAAAAAUUAGAGUGUUCAAAGCAGG